This 29-nucleotide transfer RNA is filed under the name Cyanthillium montanum. Its description in RNAcentral is "Cyanthillium cinereum var. montanum partial tRNA-Phe". The record is from RNAcentral. Lineage: Eukaryota; Viridiplantae; Streptophyta; Magnoliopsida; Asterales; Asteraceae.
AGCUCAGUUGGUAGAGCAAAGGACUGAAA